This 488-nucleotide ribosomal RNA is filed under the name Staphylococcus aureus. Its description in RNAcentral is "partial 23S ribosomal RNA". It matches the Rfam family "Bacterial large subunit ribosomal RNA", at positions 2380 to 2869 of the family's 2925-position model. Lineage: Bacteria; Bacillati; Bacillota; Bacilli; Caryophanales; Staphylococcaceae. The record is from RNAcentral.
ACCUACAAGUCGAGCAGGGUCGAAAGACGGACUUAGUGAUCCGGUGGUUCCGCAUGGAAGGGCCAUCGCUCAACGGAUAAAAGCUACCCCGGGGAUAACAGGCUUAUCUCCCCCAAGAGUUCACAUCGACGGGGAGGUUUGGCACCUCGAUGUCGGCUCAUCGCAUCCUGGGGCUGUAGUCGGUCCCAAGGGUUGGGCUGUUCGCCCAUUAAAGCGGUACGCGAGCUGGGUUCAGAACGUCGUGAGACAGUUCGGUCCCUAUCCGUCGUGGGCGUAGGAAAUUUGAGAGGAGCUGUCCUUAGUACGAGAGGACCGGGAUGGACAUACCUCUGGUGUACCAGUUGUCGUGCCAACGGCAUAGCUGGGUAGCUAUGUGUGGACGGGAUAAGUGCUGAAAGCAUCUAAGCAUGAAGCCCCCCUCAAGAUGAGAUUUCCCAACUUCGGUUAUAAGAUCCCUCAAAGAUGAUGAGGUUAAUAGGUUCGAGGUG